CCUACGGGGGGCUGCAGUGGGGAAUAUUGCGCAAUGGGCGGAAGCCUGACGCAGCGACGCCGCGUGAGGGAUGACGGCCUUCGGGUUGUAAACCUCUUUCAGCAGGGACGAAUUUUGACGGUACCUGUAGAAGAAGCACCGGCCAACUACGUGCCAGCAGCCGCGGUAAUACGUAGGGUGCGAGCGUUGUCCGGAAUUAUUGGGCGUAAAGAGCUCGUAGGCGGUCUGUCGCGUCGAAUGUGAAAACCCGGGGCUCAACUCCGGGCUUGCAUUCG
RNAcentral lists this ribosomal RNA (275 nucleotides) under uncultured Nakamurella sp. RNAcentral describes it as "partial 16S ribosomal RNA". It matches the Rfam family "Bacterial small subunit ribosomal RNA", at positions 338 to 629 of the family's 1533-position model. The record is from RNAcentral. Lineage: Bacteria; Bacillati; Actinomycetota; Actinomycetes; Nakamurellales; Nakamurellaceae.